ACUUCUAUCCUAUUGUGCACCAAUUUCUCUAAAGUGAAAUCUCGGAACUCCUCUGGAAUUUUCUCUAGAAGUGUCUCAUCAUACACAGGAUCCUCAUAACCCUCCAUGGGAUCCUCUGGGGUCAGCACUCGCUUCAUUCAAGAAGAGUUGUUCCCCUUUUGAUUUCCUACCUGCUUGAUGAAACCUUUCCUCUGCAGAUUUAAGACAUAUUUAGACCUAGUCUCCAAAUGCUUCUUGACUUCUAUUAGUUCAACCUGACAAUUAUACAACCAUGUAUUACAAUGCAGAAAAAGUAUAUAACAGAAGAAAAAAAUGUUUUAUGAAUAGACAUUAACCUUUCCGUAAGUUUUCAUGUCUACAUUAAUCAUUUGAGUCCAUGCAACAUAGAGGAUGGACAGGGAAUACUCCUCAGCCUCAUCAAACAGCUCCUCAAAUGGUGGCUGUAGCGCACGGUAGAUGCCACCACGGAUCUCAUGGCUACAUCCAAUGUUACGGUUUCCUCCCACCACAAUGUACCUCGAGUAAAUCACCUGAAAAUCAAUCAGUCCGUCUUUUAUGACAAAAUGUGCUUUGUUUUACAUUGACAGUAUUUUUUAAUUCAGUGAAAAGAUACACAAACCUUGGCUUUCUUUUGUACUAUAUAUGGAUCUAUGACUUCUGCAUAAAAAAGCAUGUGAUAUUCUUGAACAUCAGUCCAAAAACUCAAGCAGUUCACCCACAUCUAUACACAAGAAGAAAAAAACAUUCCAUAAAAUACGCCAACUGAAUAUCAAGUAAGGCAAUAAGUAAAUCAUUUAAUAUUGAGGUUUCAUCAGUGUUCAUAAACAUUAAAUUUCAUGCAUUUCUCAAAAAAAUUAAAAGUUCCUUCACAAAA
This is a long non-coding RNA of Ostrea edulis (European flat oyster), 874 nucleotides long. RefSeq lists it as uncharacterized. NCBI's taxonomy places the organism in Eukaryota, Metazoa, Mollusca, Bivalvia, Ostreida, Ostreidae. The record is from RefSeq and is a predicted model, not a curated record. The transcript is spliced from 2 exons.